RNAcentral lists this ribosomal RNA (375 nucleotides) under uncultured bacterium. RNAcentral describes it as "bacterial SSU rRNA". It matches the Rfam family "Bacterial small subunit ribosomal RNA", at positions 271 to 658 of the family's 1533-position model. The record is from RNAcentral.
AGGCGACGACGGGUAGCCGGCCUGAGAGGGUGUCCGGCCACACUGGGACUGAGAUACGGCCCAGACUCCUACGGGAGGCAGCAGUGGGGAAUAUUGCACAAUGGGCGCAAGCCUGAUGCAGCGACGCCGCGUGAGGGAUGACGGCCUUCGGGUUGUAAACCUCUUUCACCAGGGACGAAGCGCAAGUGACGGUACCUGCAGAAGAAGCACCGGCCAACUACGUGCCAGCAGCCGCGGUAAUACGUAGGGUGCGAGCGUUGUCCGGAAUUACUGGGCGUAAAGAGCUCGUAGGUGGUUUGUCGCGUUGUUCGUGAAAUCUCACGGCUUAACUGUGAGCGUGCGGGCGAUACGGGCAGACUGGAGUACUGCAGGGGA